This 893-nucleotide ribosomal RNA is filed under the name uncultured Actinomycetes bacterium. RNAcentral describes it as "bacterial SSU rRNA". It matches the Rfam family "Bacterial small subunit ribosomal RNA", at positions 54 to 963 of the family's 1533-position model. The record is from RNAcentral. Lineage: Bacteria; Bacillati; Actinomycetota; Actinomycetes.
CAUGCAGUCGAGCGAUGAAGCACCUUCGGGUGUGGAUUAGCGGCGAACGGGUGAGGAACACGUGAGAAAUCUGCCUUCAACUCUGGGAUAACUCCGGGAAACCGGGGCUAAUACCGGAUAUGAGCCUCUUUCGCAUGAAGGGGGCUGGAAAGUUUUUCGGUUGAAGAUGAUCUCGCGGCCUAUCAGCUUGUUGGUGAGGUAACGGCUCACCAAGGCUACGACGGGUAUCCGGCCUGAGAGGGCGACCGGACACACUGGGACUGAGACACGGCCCAGACUCCUACGGGAGGCGGCAGUGGGGAAUAUUGGGCAAUGGGCGAAAGCCUGACCCAGCGACGCCGCGUGAGGGAUGAAGGCCUUCGGGUUGUAAACCUCUUUCAGCAGGGAAGAAGCGAAAGUGACGGUACCUGCAGAAGAAGCACCGGCUAACUAUGUGCCAGCAGCCGCGGUAAUACAUAGGGUGCAAGCGUUGUCCGGAAUUAUUGGGCGUAAAGAGCUCGUAGGUGGUUCGAUACGUCGGAUGUGAAAAUCAGGGGCUCAACCCCUGACCUGCAUUCGAUACGGUCGAGCUAGAGUGUGGUAGGGGAGACUGGAAUUCCUGGUGUAGCGGUGGAAUGCGCAGAUAUCAGGAGGAACACCGAUGGCGAAGGCAGGUCUCUGGGCCAUUACUGACACUGAGGAGCGAAAGCGUGGGGAGCGAACAGGAUUAGAUACCCUGGUAGUCCACGCCGUAAACGGUGGGCGCUAGUUGUGCGAACCUUCCACGGUUUGUGCGACGCAGCUAACGCAUUAAGCGCCCCGCCUGGGGAGUACGAUCGCAAGAUUAAAACUCAAAGGAAUUGACGGGGCCCCGCACAAGCAGCGGAGCAUGCGGCUUAAUUCGACGCAACGCG